Molecule: ribosomal RNA, 424 nt
Filed under: uncultured bacterium
Lineage: Bacteria
Description: bacterial SSU rRNA
Rfam family: Bacterial small subunit ribosomal RNA
Source: RNAcentral
UACGGAAGGCAGCAGUGGGGAAUAUUGCACAAUGGGCGCAAGCCUGAUGCAGCCAUGCCGCGUGUAUGAAGAAGGCCUUCGGGUUGUAAAGUACUUUCAGUCGUGAGGAAGGUGUUAAGGUUAAUAACCUUAGCAAUUGACGUUAGCGACAGAAGAAGCACCGGCUAACUCCGUGCCAGCAGCCGCGGUAAUACGGAGGGUGCGAGCGUUAAUCGGAAUUACUGGGCGUAAAGGGCACGCAGGCGGUUAAUUAAGUUGGAUGUGAAAUCCCCGGGCUUAACCUGGGAAUGGCAUUCAAGACUGGUUAGCUAGAGUCUUGUAGAGGGGGUUAGAAUUCCAUGUGUAGCGGUGAAAUGCGUAGAGAUGUGGAGGAAUACCGGUGGCGAAAGGCGGCCCCCUGGACAAAGGACUGACGCUCAUGUGC